RNAcentral lists this ribosomal RNA (800 nucleotides) under uncultured bacterium. RNAcentral's name for it is "bacterial SSU rRNA". It matches the Rfam family "Bacterial small subunit ribosomal RNA", at positions 8 to 781 of the family's 1533-position model. The record is from RNAcentral.
AGAGUUUGAUCCUGGCUCAGAACGAACGCUGGCGGCGUGGAUAAGACAUGCAAGUCGAGCGCUGAUUACAGGGUAGCAAUAUUCUGUAGUCGGAGCGGCGCAAGGGUGCGUAACACGUGGGUAAUCUGCCAUGAAGUUUGGAAUAACUCGCUGAAAGGCGAGCUAAUGCCGGAUGUGAAAGCUGGGAGGCAUCUCUCGGUUUUCAAAGCUGGGGACCGUAAGGCCUGGCGCUUCAUGAUGAGCCCGCGGCCUAUCAGCUAGUUGGUGAGGUAACGGCUCACCAAGGCUAAGACGGGUAGCUGGUCUGAGAGGACGACCAGCCACACUGGAACUGAGACACGGUCCAGACACCUACGGGUGGCAGCAGUCGAGAAUUUUUCACAAUGGGCGCAAGCCUGAUGGAGCGACGCCGCGUGGGGGAUGAAUGGCUUCGGCCCGUAAACCCCUGUCAUUUGCGAUCAACCGUUGUUAUUUAAAAGAUGACAGCCUGAUAGUAGCGAAAGAGGAAGGGACGGCUAACUCUGUGCCAGCAGCCGCGGUAAUACAGAGGUCCCAAGCGUUGUUCGGAUUCACUGGGCGUAAAGGGUGCGUAGGUGGCGGAGUAAGUCGGAUGUGAAAUCUCCGAGCUCAACUCGGAAAUGGCAUUGGAAACUGCUCUGCUCGAGGGUUGGAGGGGGGACUGGAAUACUUGGUGUAGCAGUGAAAUGCGUAGAUAUCAAGUGGAACACCAGUGGCGAAGGCGAGUCCCUGGACAACUCCUGACACUGAGGCACGAAAGCUAGGGGAGCAAACAGGAUUAG